UUUUUUUUUUUUUUUUUUUUUUUUUUUUAAAUAAACAAUUUCAUUUGAAGAUUAAUUUUGUAGAGUUGCUUUUUUCUUUUUAUGUGGCACCACAAUCUGACAGUUUAUGCGUUAUUUUUUUGUCUUAGGUAAUAUUUUUUUUAGCUUUUUUUUUAAAAAUAAUAUUCCAAUCUCGCUGUUGUAGUGAGACGAUCAUAGUCUUAAUUUCAAAACUAAACCAAAAUAAAUUGAACAUUGGCUAGAAUGUUAUAGACUUUAAAUAUUUUCUGUUUAUAUCUGUGUAUUUCUAAGCUUACACACCAUUUUUUGAGUUUGAACUUUGCUAAUAGUUACUAACAUUUGUCCUACCUGUCUUUGUUGUUCUUUUUUUAUUUAUUUAAGUAGUAUUUACUCUCCGCAUAGUUGGUUAGCCAUGUUUUUGUGUUUUUAUUCUGCCAUUUUGUGUGAUUUGAAUGAGUCUUGUUAUAUUUAUAUAUAUAAAUAUUGUUCAUUCUUUGAGGCUGUAUGUUUGAUAUUUUAAGUUGUAAACACAUUCUUGACUAGUUUGUUAUUUAUCAAUCUUUAACGCCUUGUCUAGGUUUUUUUUUUUUUUUUUUCAUCCAAAAUAAAACUGAAGGAAAAUGAU
Non-coding RNA from Biomphalaria pfeifferi, 625 nucleotides. The record is from the annotation of a GenBank genome assembly. NCBI's taxonomy places the organism in Eukaryota, Metazoa, Mollusca, Gastropoda, Planorbidae.